This 254-nucleotide ribosomal RNA is filed under the name uncultured prokaryote. RNAcentral describes it as "partial 16S ribosomal RNA". It matches the Rfam family "Bacterial small subunit ribosomal RNA", at positions 524 to 776 of the family's 1533-position model. The record is from RNAcentral.
UACGGGGGGAGCAAGCGUUGUUCGGAUUUACUGGGCGUAAAGGGCGCGUAGGCGGUCAGCACAAGUCAGUUGUGAAAUCUCCGGGCUUAACUCGGAAAGGUCAACUGAUACUGUGCGACUAGAGUGCGGAAGGGGCAACUGGAAUUCUCGGUGUAGCGGUGAAAUGCGUAGAUAUGCGGAGGAACACCGAUGGCGAAGGCAAUCCCCUGGGCCUGUACUGACGCUCAUGCACGAAAGCGUGGGGAGCAAACAGA